GACGAACGCUGGCGGCGUGCCUAAUACAUGCAAGUAGAACGCACAGUUUAUACCGUAGCUUGCUACACCAUAGACUGUGAGUUGCGAACGGGUGAGUAACGCGUAGGUAACCUGCCUGGUAGCGGGGGAUAACUAUUGGAAACGAUAGCUAAUACCGCAUAAUAUUAAUUAUUGCAUGAUAAUUAAUUGAAAGGUGCAAUUGCACCACUACCAGAUGGACCUGCGUUGUAUUAGCUAGUAGGUGAGGUAACGGCUCACCUAGGCGACGAUACAUAGCCGACCUGGGAGGGUGGUCGGCCACACUGGGACUGAGACACGGCCCAGACUCCUACGGGAGGCAGCAGUAGGGAAUCUUCGGCAAUGGACGAAAGUCUGACCGGGCAACGCCGCGUGAGUGAAGAAGGGUUUCGGAUCGUAAAGCUCUGUUGUAAGAGAAGAACGGGUGUGAGAGUGGAAAGUUCACACUGUGACGGUAUCUUACCAGAAAGGGACGGCUAACUACGUG
Molecule: ribosomal RNA, 505 nt
Filed under: uncultured bacterium
Lineage: Bacteria
Description: partial 16S ribosomal RNA
Rfam family: Bacterial small subunit ribosomal RNA
Source: RNAcentral